AUUUCAGUGUGCUUGCAAACUGGAGAUGGCGACCGGCGCACGGGUGAGUAACACGUAUCCAACCUGCCGAUAACUCGGGGAUAGCCUUUCGAAAGAAAGAUUAAUACCCGAUGGCAUAAUUGGACCGCAUGGUCUUAUUAUUAAAGAAUUUCGGUUAUCGAUGGGGAUGCGUUCCAUUAGGCAGUUGGUGAGGUAACGGCUCACCAAACCUUCGAUGGAUAGGGGUUCUGAGAGGAAGGUCCCCCACAUUGGAACUGAGACACGGUCCAAACUCCUACGGGAGGCAGCAGUGAGGAAUAUUGGUCAAUGGGCGCAGGCCUGAACCAGCCAAGUAGCGUGAAGGAUGACUGCCCUAUGGGUUGUAAACUUCUUUUAUAUGGGAAUAAAGUUUUCCACGUGUGGAAUUUUGUAUGUACCAUAUGAAUAAGGAUCGGCUAACUCCGUGCCAGCAGCCGCGGUAAUACGGAGGAUCCGAGCGUUAUCCGGAUUUAUUGGGUUUAAAGGGAGCGUAGGUGGACAGUUAAGUCAGUUGUGAAAGUUUGCGGCUCAACCGUAAAAUUGCAGUUGAUACUGGCUGUCUUGAGUACAGUAGAGGUGGGCGGAAUUCGUGGUGUAGCGGUGAAAUGCUUAGAUAUCACGAAGAACUCCGAUUGCGAAGGCAGCUCACUGGACUGCAACUGACACUGAUGCUCGAAAGUGUGGGUAUCAAACAGGAUUAGAUACCCUGGUAGUCCACACAGUAAACGAUGAAUACUCGCUGUUUGCGAUAUACAGUAAGCGGCCAAGCGAAAGCAUUAAGUAUUCCACCUGGGGAGUA
This 817-nucleotide ribosomal RNA is filed under the name uncultured bacterium. Its description in RNAcentral is "bacterial SSU rRNA". It matches the Rfam family "Bacterial small subunit ribosomal RNA", at positions 68 to 882 of the family's 1533-position model. The record is from RNAcentral.